ACUGAAUCAUCAUCUCUGAUUAGACAGUGAGCUCUGAGCCAGACUCACCGAUGGGGUGAUGCUCCUCUCCCACAUGGACAGCUAUAAGAACAUUGUAGAUAGAGCCAUUUGGACGGUCUGGAAUUGAAGACUUUCAGGUGUUCUGGGGAGGCAGCCAUAUGCUAAAGACCAUCCAUGAGCAAGCAUCUACCCACUAAGAUCCUUUCCAUACAAUCUCAUGCUACUGUUUCCACA
Molecule: long non-coding RNA, 234 nt
Organism: Mastomys coucha (southern multimammate mouse)
Lineage: Eukaryota; Metazoa; Chordata; Mammalia; Rodentia; Muridae
Exons: 3
Source: RefSeq, a predicted model, not a curated record